UACGGAGGGUGCAAGCGUUAUCCGGAUUCACUGGGUUUAAAGGGUGCGUAGGUGGGAAAGUAAGUCAGUGGUGAAAUCUCCGUGCUUAACACGGAAACUGCCAUUGAUACUAUUUUUCUUGAAUUUUCUGGAGGUCAGCGGAAUAUGUCAUGUAGCGGUGAAAUGCUUAGAUAUGACAUAGAACACCAAUUGCGAAGGCAGCUGACUACAGGGAUAUUGACACUGAGGCACGAAAGCGUGGGGAGUCAAACAGGAAUU
This 258-nucleotide ribosomal RNA is filed under the name uncultured bacterium. Its description in RNAcentral is "partial 16S ribosomal RNA". It matches the Rfam family "Bacterial small subunit ribosomal RNA", at positions 524 to 780 of the family's 1533-position model. The record is from RNAcentral.